RNAcentral lists this ribosomal RNA (253 nucleotides) under uncultured bacterium. Its description in RNAcentral is "partial 16S ribosomal RNA". It matches the Rfam family "Bacterial small subunit ribosomal RNA", at positions 524 to 776 of the family's 1533-position model. The record is from RNAcentral.
UACGUAGGGUGCAAGCGUUGUCCGGAAUUAUUGGGCGUAAAGAGCUCGUAGGCGGUCUGUUGCGUCGGCUGUGAAAACCCGAGGCUCAACCUCGGGCCUGCAGCCGAUACGGGCAGACUAGAGUUCGGCAGGGGAGACUGGAAUUCCUGGUGUAGCGGUGAAAUGCGCAGAUAUCAGGAGGAACACCGGUGGCGAAGGCGGGUCUCUGGGCCGAUACUGACGCUGAGGAGCGAAAGCGUGGGGAGCGAACAGG